This 433-nucleotide ribosomal RNA is filed under the name uncultured bacterium. RNAcentral's name for it is "partial 16S ribosomal RNA". It matches the Rfam family "Bacterial small subunit ribosomal RNA", at positions 29 to 507 of the family's 1533-position model. The record is from RNAcentral.
AACGAACGCUGGCGGCAGGCCUAACACAUGCAAGUCGAGCGGACCCUUCGGGGUUAGCGGCGGACGGGUGAGUAACGCGUGGGAAUAUGCCCUUCUCUACGGAAUAGUCCUGGGAAACUGGGGGUAAUACCGUAUACGCCCUUUGGGGGAAAGAUUUAUCGGGGAAGGAUUAGCCCGCGUUGGAUUAGGUAGUUGGUGGGGUAAUGGCCUACCAAGCCGACGAUCCAUAGCUGGUUCGAGAGGAUGAUCAGCCACACUGGGACUGAGACACGGCCCAGACUCCUACGGGAGGCAGCAGUGGGGAAUCUUAGACAAUGGGGGCAACCCUGAUCUAGCCAUGCCGCGUGAGUGAUGAAGGCCUUAGGGUUGUAAAGCUCUUUCAGCUGGGAAGAUAAUGACGGUACCAGCAGAAGAAGCCCCGGCUAACUCCGUG